UGCCAUGUCCAGCAAUGCGGCAGAAUCUUUUCCCACCCCACUGUGGCUGUUGCCAUGGCAACAAGCUGUGGUUUCUGGAAUUGAAAAGUUGAAUGUGACAGGAAGUGUGCGUGUCUGCGGGAGGAUCAGGAGGAGCAAUGAUGGGAUAAUGAGGGACAUGAGGAGCAGGAGCAAUUGCAAGAAAAGCAACACUGGGAUAAUGAGUGGGGUCUGGAGGAGGUGGAGGAGGAGUGCCAUUGUUUAAUGAAGGAGGUGGGAACCAAUAGUACUAGGAGACACAGGAGGAGCGGAGCGAGUGGGGGUGGGAUAAUUUGUGAGGAGAAGAAGGAAUAGCCGAAGCAAGAGGAGUUGGGAGGCAGAAAGAGCAUGGUGAAUGGGAGGAGAAGUGGUGUAAUAAUAAGGGAGAUGAGGUGCGGAAGGAGCAGUGGUGGGAUGAAAAGGUGGUGUGGAUCAGUUGGGGGAGUGGGAAGAAGGGGCUACAAGAGCAGUGACCAUUUUAAAUGGAGGGAGGAGUAGGACGAGUGGUUGUGGGAUAAUAGAGGAAGUGAGGAGGAGAAGAAGGAGCAGAAGCAGGAGGAGUGAGGAAACAAAAAGAGUAGAGUGAAUGAGAGGAGAGGUGUAAUAUGGAGAAAAAGGCAGAUGAGGAAAAGGAGGAGUAGUAAUGGGAAGAAAAGGAGGUGCAGAUAAGUGGGGGGAGUGAGAUGAGAAGAGGCUGCAAGAGCAGUGACCACU
Danio rerio (zebrafish) is the source of this 732-nucleotide non-coding RNA. NCBI's taxonomy places the organism in Eukaryota, Metazoa, Chordata, Actinopteri, Cypriniformes, Danionidae. The record is from RefSeq and is a predicted model, not a curated record.